CCUACGGGAGGCAGCAGUGGGGAAUAUUGCACAAUGGGGGAAACCCUGAUGCAGCGACGCCGCGUGAGUGAAGAAGUAAUUCGUUAUGUAAAGCUCUAUCAGCAGGGAAGAAAAUGACGGUACCUGAGUAAGAAGCCCCGGCCAACUACGUGCCAGCAGCCGCGGUAAUACGUAGGGGGCAAGCGUGAUCCGGAUUUACUGGGUGUAACGGGAGCGUAGACGGGAGUGCAAGUCUGGAGUGAAAGGCGGGGGCUCAACCUCCGGACUGCUCUGGAAACUGUACGGCUGGAGUGCAGGAGAGGUAAGUGGAAUUCCUAGUGUAGCGGUGAAAUGCGUAGAUAUUAGGAGGAACACCGGUGGCGAAGGCGGCCUGCUGGACUGUGACUGACGUUGAGGCCCGAAGGCGUGGGGAGCAAACAGGAUUAGAUACCCGAGUAGUC
This 440-nucleotide ribosomal RNA is filed under the name uncultured bacterium. RNAcentral describes it as "partial 16S ribosomal RNA". It matches the Rfam family "Bacterial small subunit ribosomal RNA", at positions 338 to 795 of the family's 1533-position model. The record is from RNAcentral.